This 301-nucleotide ribosomal RNA is filed under the name uncultured bacterium. Its description in RNAcentral is "partial 16S ribosomal RNA". It matches the Rfam family "Bacterial small subunit ribosomal RNA", at positions 509 to 807 of the family's 1533-position model. The record is from RNAcentral.
CAGUAGCCGCGGUAACACGUAGGGUGCGAGCGUUAAUCGGAAUUACUGGGCGUAAAGCGUGCGCAGGCGGUUUGGUAAGACAGGCGUGAAAUCCCCGGGCUCAACCUGGGAAUGGCGCUUGUGACUGCAAAGCUAGAGUGCGGCAGAGGGGGAUGGAAUUCCGCGUGUAGCAGUGAAAUGCGUAGAGAUCGGGAGGAACAUCAGUGGCGAAGGCGGCCAUCUGGGACAACACUGACGCUGAGGCACGAAAGCGUGGGGAGCAAACAGGAUUAGAUACCCCCGUAGUCCCUGUCUCUUAUAC